CCUACGGGGCGCACCAGUGGGGAAUAUUGCACAAUGGGCACAAGCCUGAUGCAGCCAUGCCGCGUGUAUGAAGAAGGCCUUCGGGUUGUAAAGCACUUUCAGCGGGGAGGAAGGCGAUAAGGUUAAUAGCCUUGUCGAUUGACGUUACCCGCAGAAGAAGCACCGGCUAACUCCGUGCCAGCAACCGCGGUAAUACGGAGGGUGCAAGCGCUAAUCGGAAUUACUGGGCGUAAAGCGCACGCAGGCGGUCUGUCAAGUCGGAUGCGAAAUCCCCGGGCUCAACCUGGGAACUGCAUUCGAAACUGGCAGGCUAGAGCCUUGUAGAGGGGGGUAGAAUUCCAGGUGUAGCGGUGAAAUGCGUAGAGAUCUGGAGGAAUACCGGUGGCGAAGGCGGCCCCCUGGACAAAGACUGACGCUCAGGUGCGAAAGCGUGGGGAGCAAACAGGAUUAGAUACCCCAGUAGUC
RNAcentral lists this ribosomal RNA (465 nucleotides) under uncultured bacterium. RNAcentral's name for it is "bacterial SSU rRNA". It matches the Rfam family "Bacterial small subunit ribosomal RNA", at positions 338 to 795 of the family's 1533-position model. The record is from RNAcentral.